Molecule: non-coding RNA, 102 nt
Filed under: Edaphobacillus lindanitolerans
Lineage: Bacteria; Bacillati; Bacillota; Bacilli; Caryophanales; Bacillaceae
Description: Guanine sequence
Rfam family: Purine riboswitch aptamer
About the family: Riboswitches are metabolite binding domains within certain messenger RNAs that serve as precision sensors for their corresponding targets.
Source: RNAcentral
CGGAUAGACCGGGUCGCCCCUCAUAUAAGUCCGGAAAUAAGGUCCGGAUGUCUCUACCAAGCCACCGUAAACGGCUUGUCUAUGAAGGCGGGUGCUUUUGUG